RNAcentral lists this transfer RNA (73 nucleotides) under Canis lupus familiaris (dog). It matches the Rfam family "tRNA". Rfam says of the family: Transfer RNA (tRNA) molecules are approximately 80 nucleotides in length. Their secondary structure includes four short double-helical elements and three loops (D, anti-codon, and T loops). Further hydrogen bonds mediate the characteristic L-shaped molecular structure. tRNAs have two regions of fundamental functional importance: the anti-codon, which is responsible for specific mRNA codon recognition, and the 3' end, to which the tRNAs corresponding amino acid is attached (by aminoacyl-tRNA synthetases). tRNAs cope with the degeneracy of the genetic code in two manners: having more than one tRNA (with a specific anti-codon) for a particular amino acid; and 'wobble' base-pairing, i.e. permitting non-standard base-pairing at the 3rd anti-codon position. RNAcentral also lists the same sequence under 3 other names. The record is from Rfam by way of RNAcentral. Lineage: Eukaryota; Metazoa; Chordata; Mammalia; Carnivora; Canidae.
ACCUGGCUGGCUCAGUUGGUAGAGUACAUGAAUUUUGAUCUUGGGGUUGUGAAUUCAAGCCUCAUGUUGGGUA